GAUGAACGCUGGCGGCGUGCCUAAUACAUGCAAGUCGAGCGAACAGACGAGGAGCUUGCUCCUCUGACGUUAGCGGCGGACGGGUGAGUAACACGUGGAUAACCUACCUAUAAGACUGGGAUAACUUCGGGAAACCGGAGCUAAUACCGGAUAAUAUAUUGAACCGCAUGGUUCAAUAGUGAAAGACGGUUUUGCUGUCACUUAUAGAUGGAUCGGCGCCGCAUUAGCUAGUUGGUAAGGUAACGGCUUACCAAGGCAACGAUGCGUGGCCGACCUGAGAGGGGGAGAGGCACGAGUGGGACAUGGCGAGGGAGGCGACAGCGGAGGAGGGGAGAAGGAGGGUAGAGUGGGAAAUGGGCGGAAAUCAAACGUAUCAAAUCCGCGGGAAAUAAAAAGGUAUGAGGAGCGUAAAACUCUGUUAUUAAGGAAAAACAAAUGUCCAAGGAAAGAUGCACGCCGCGACGGUACAUAAGCAGAAAGACACGGCUAGCUACGUG
RNAcentral lists this ribosomal RNA (497 nucleotides) under uncultured bacterium. RNAcentral's name for it is "partial 16S ribosomal RNA". It matches the Rfam family "Bacterial small subunit ribosomal RNA", at positions 28 to 507 of the family's 1533-position model. The record is from RNAcentral.